UCUGAAUUCCCAAAGCCCUCAUCCUGCUUCUGGACCAGGCAGACUGACCCAUUGGAGCCUGGAGGGACUCUGAGGGGGACACCCUGGCCCAUAGUGCCUCCAUCAGACGGAGCCUCCACCUGGGGAAGGAGCUACAGGAAGCAUCUGGUCCUUGUGGGCCCAAAAGAGUUGGAAGGAAAAGAAAGACUUGGCUGCACCCAGUACCAAUACGUCCCCAAACCCCAGCACCCAAAGGUCUCAACACUGGGCCUGACCCUGGCCCACAACACAGCACUGGGACUCACUUUAGGUCUCCUGGGUCUUGCUGCUCCGUUAGAACCCAGCCCCUUUGUGACAUGGUCAGGAGGCUAUGCUGACAGCUGCUCUGGAGCCGUGUCGACCACAGGGCCAGGGGAGAAAAUCCUGAAGGUGAACCUGGCCCGGCUGGCAAUCUUCCACCUGAACAAGGCAAGACAGUGGAAGAGGCUGCAGAGCUGGCGCUGGGCUACAUGAAGUUGAGGCUCAAAGGCUUGGAGGGCCUCAUCCUGGUCAGCAGAACAGGGGACUAGGUAGCAAAAUGGAUCUCAGACUCCAUUCCCUUGGCAGCCGUGAAGGGUGGCAAGGUGCAUGCUGGCACUAACAUCAGUGACACCACCAUCACAGACCUGUGCUGAGUUGGAGAUGGUACCCACAGGAUUGGUGUAGCUUAAUCAAUUAGACAUCAAGGGAAAAUUCACUCAGCCUGUCCCUGGUUUUGUUCCUGAUCCUUAAGUAUUUGAAUAUUUGUUUGCAUUGAAGCUCUACAGUAGUGAGAGAAACACUAACUUCAGAUCAUCUUCAUCACAGUUAGGAUCGUUAUGUAUGGCAAACACGUACUAAUAAAGACCAUUUAAAAAUGAGAAAU
RNAcentral lists this long non-coding RNA (883 nucleotides) under Cavia porcellus (domestic guinea pig). RNAcentral describes it as "lncRNA (ENSCPOG00000037544.1)". The record is from RNAcentral. Lineage: Eukaryota; Metazoa; Chordata; Mammalia; Rodentia; Caviidae.